This 253-nucleotide ribosomal RNA is filed under the name uncultured bacterium. RNAcentral describes it as "partial 16S ribosomal RNA". It matches the Rfam family "Bacterial small subunit ribosomal RNA", at positions 524 to 776 of the family's 1533-position model. The record is from RNAcentral.
UACGGAGGGUGCGAGCGUUGUCCGGAAUCAUUGGGCGUAAAGGGCGCGUAGGUGGCGGGACAAGCGUGCGGUGAAAGCUCGGGGCUCAACCCCGAGUCGGCCGUGCGAACUGUUUUGCUUGAGCACUGUAGAGACAGGCGGAAUUCCGGGUGUAGCGGUGGAAUGCGUAGAGAUCCGGAAGAACACCGGUGGCGAAGGCGGCCUGCUGGGCAGUAGCUGACACUGAGGCGCGACAGCGUGGGGAGCAAACAGG